CCUACGGGUGGCAGCAGUGGGGCAUAUUGGGCAAUGGGCGCAAGCCUGACCCAGCAACGCCGCGUGAAGGAAGAAGGCUUUCGGGUUGUAAACUUCUUUUCUCAGGGACGAAGCAAGUGACGGUACCUGAGGAAUAAGCCACGGCUAACUACGUGCCAGCAGCCGCGGUAAUACGUAGGUGGCAAGCGUUAUACGGAUUUACUGGGGGUAAAGGGCGUGUAGGCGGGGACGCAAGUCAGAUGUGAAAACCACGGGCUCAACCUGUUGCCUGCAUUUGAAACUGUGUUUCCUGAGGACUGGAGAGGCAGAAGGAAUUCCUAAUGUAGCGGUGAAAGGCGUAGAUAUUAGGAGGAACAGCAGGGGCGAAGGCGGUCUGCUGGACAGCAACUGACGCUGAGGCGCGAAAGCGUGGGGAGCAAACAGGAUUAGAUACCCGUGUAGUC
This 443-nucleotide ribosomal RNA is filed under the name uncultured bacterium. Its description in RNAcentral is "partial 16S ribosomal RNA". It matches the Rfam family "Bacterial small subunit ribosomal RNA", at positions 338 to 795 of the family's 1533-position model. The record is from RNAcentral.